CCACAACCUAAACACAGAUGUACUUGCUUUGAAACUAAAAAGGGAAGUGCUUCUAUGUUUUAGUGAUGG
RNAcentral lists this microRNA precursor (69 nucleotides) under Sus scrofa (pig). RNAcentral's name for it is "mir-302 microRNA precursor family". It matches the Rfam family "mir-302 microRNA precursor family". Lineage: Eukaryota; Metazoa; Chordata; Mammalia; Artiodactyla; Suidae. The record is from Rfam by way of RNAcentral.